AUAAAGUUUGUGGUACAAAGUAUUUGUUUUUCUUUUCUCCUUGUUUUAAUGAUUUGUUUUCUUCCUUAUCUGAUUCUAGCAUGAAGUGAUGAAAUAUUUGAUCACUAAAAUAACGCCUGCAGCUCCUGUUCCUGUACAGACAGGAAGUAGAGUCAGAAUUUAGACCAAGCACACAAUGUUGCCUGAUUUAAAGCAACAGAUGUAAACAGAGCUGUGUGAUUGGCUAAGAGAACCCCCUGAAUUAAACUACUUAUUAUCGACAAUUUUUUUUUUUUUAACCAAAAUUCAUCCCUAACCCAUCGAGAGGAUAUAAAUCAAUAAAGAUUCUGAAACCAGAAGUUAUGUUAAAGAUAUUCAGCGAUUUCUCAGAUGUUAAAGGGUCAAAUGUAUUACAUGUCAACUGGGGGCAUAACAAUACUACUGUAAAAAUAAAAAAUAAAACAUGAAUUGAUUGUAAUCAGUAUA
Oryzias melastigma (Indian medaka) is the source of this 465-nucleotide long non-coding RNA. RefSeq lists it as uncharacterized. The transcript is spliced from 2 exons. Lineage: Eukaryota; Metazoa; Chordata; Actinopteri; Beloniformes; Adrianichthyidae. The record is from RefSeq and is a predicted model, not a curated record.